GACGAACGCUGGCGGCGUGCUUAACACAUGCAAGUCGAACGGAAAGGCCCUGCUUUUGUGGGGUGCUCGAGUGGCGAACGGGUGAGUAACACGUGAGUAACCUGCCCUUGACUUUGGGAUAACUUCAGGAAACUGGGGCUAAUACCGGAUAGGAGCUCCUGCUGCAUGGUGGGGGUUGGAAAGUUUCGGCGGUUGGGGAUGGACUCGCGGCUUAUCAGCUUGUUGGUGGGGUAGUGGCUUACCAAGGCUUUGACGGGUAGCCGGCCUGAGAGGGUGACCGGCCACAUUGGGACUGAGCUACGGCCCAGACUCCUACGGGAGGCAGCAGUGGGAAAUAUUGCACAGUGGGCGGAAGCCUGAUGCAGCAACGCCGCGUGCGGGAUGACGGCCUUCGGGUUGUAAACCGCUUUCGCCUGUGACGAAGCGUGAUUGACGGUAAUGGGUAAAGAAGCACCGGCUAACUACGUG
RNAcentral lists this ribosomal RNA (468 nucleotides) under uncultured bacterium. RNAcentral's name for it is "partial 16S ribosomal RNA". It matches the Rfam family "Bacterial small subunit ribosomal RNA", at positions 28 to 507 of the family's 1533-position model. The record is from RNAcentral.